GAUCCUGGCUCAGGAUGAACGCUGGCUACAGGCUUAACACAUGCAAGUCGAGGGGCAGCAUGGUCUUAGCUUGCUAAGACUGAUGGCGACCGGCGCACGGGCGAGUAACACGUAUCCAACCUGCCGUCUACUCGUUGGACAGUCCUUCUAGAAAGGAAGAUUAAUACAAGAUGGCAUCAUGAGUCCGCAUGUUCACAUGAUUAAAGGUAUUCCGGUAGACGAUGGGG
RNAcentral lists this ribosomal RNA (227 nucleotides) under uncultured bacterium. Its description in RNAcentral is "partial 16S ribosomal RNA". It matches the Rfam family "Bacterial small subunit ribosomal RNA", at positions 15 to 230 of the family's 1533-position model. The record is from RNAcentral.